Molecule: ribosomal RNA, 465 nt
Filed under: uncultured Arsenophonus sp.
Lineage: Bacteria; Pseudomonadati; Pseudomonadota; Gammaproteobacteria; Enterobacterales; Morganellaceae
Description: bacterial SSU rRNA
Rfam family: Bacterial small subunit ribosomal RNA
Source: RNAcentral
CCUACGGGAGGCAGCAGUGGGGAAUAUUGCACAAUGGGCGCAAGCCUGAUGCAGCCAUGCCGCGUGUAUGAAGAAGGCCUUCGGGUUGUAAAGUACUUUCAGUCGUGAGGAAGGUGUUAAGGUUAAUAACCUUAGCAAUUGACGUUAGCGACAGAAGAAGCACCGGCUAACUCCGUGCCAGAAGCCGCGGUAAUACGGAGGGUGCGAGCGUUAAUCGGAAUUACUGGGCGUAAAGGGCACGCAGGCGGUUAAUUUAGUUGGUUGUGAAAUCCCCGGGCUUAACCUUGGAAUGGCAUUCAAGACUGGUUAGCUAGAGUCGUGUAGAGGGGGGUAGAAUUCCAUGUGUGGCGGUGAAAUUCGUAGGGAUGUGGAGGAAUACCGGUGGCGAAGGCGGCCCCCUGGACAAAGACUGACGCUCAGGUGCUAGAGCGUGGGGAGCAAACAGAAUUAGAUACCCCGGUAGUC